This 443-nucleotide ribosomal RNA is filed under the name Salmonella enterica subsp. enterica serovar Montevideo. RNAcentral's name for it is "bacterial SSU rRNA". It matches the Rfam family "Bacterial small subunit ribosomal RNA", at positions 338 to 795 of the family's 1533-position model. Lineage: Bacteria; Pseudomonadati; Pseudomonadota; Gammaproteobacteria; Enterobacterales; Enterobacteriaceae. The record is from RNAcentral.
CCUACGGGCGGCAGCAGUAGGGAAUAUUGGGCAAUGGGCGCAAGCCUGACCCAGCAACGCCGCGUGAGGGAAGAAGGUUUUCGGAUUGUAAACCUCUGUCCUAUGUGACGAAGGAAGUGACGGUAGCAUAGGAGGAAGCCCCGGCUAACUACGUGCCAGCAGCCGCGGUAAUACGUAGGUGGCAAGCGUUAUCCGGAUUUACUGGGUGUAAAGGGAGCGCAGGCGGUACGGCAAGUCUGAUGUGAAAGCCCGGGGCUCAACCCCGGUACUGCAUUGGAAACUGUCGAACUAGAGUGUCGGAGGGGUAAGUGGAAUUCCUAGUGUAGCGGUGAAAUGCGUAGAUAUUAGGAGGAACACCAGUGGCGAAGGCGGAUUACUGGACGAUAACUGACGCUGAGGCGCGAAAGCGUGGGGAGCAAACAGGAUUAGAUACCCGUGUAGUC